GAUGAACGCUGGCGGCGUGCCUAAUACAUGCAAGUCGAGCGAACAGACGAGGAUCUUGCUCCUCUGACGUUAGCGGCGGACGGGUGAGUAACACGUGUAUAACCUACCUAUAAGACUGGGAUAACUUCGGGAAACCGGAGCUAAUACCGGAUAAUAUAUUGAACCGCAUGGUUCAAUAGUGAAAGACGGUUUUGCUGUCACUUAUAGAUGGAUCCGCGCCGCAUUAGCUAGUUGGUAAGGUAACGGCUUACCAAGGCAACGAUGCGUAGCCGACCUGAGAGGGUGAUCGGCCACACUGGAACUGAGACACGGUCCAGACUCCUACGGGAGGGAGCAGUAGGGAAUCUUCCGCAAUGGGCGAAAGCCUGACGGAGCAACGCCGCGUGAGUGAUGAAGGUCUUCGGAUCGUAAAACUGUGUUAUUAGGGAAGAACAAAUGUGUAAGUAACUAUGCACGUCUUGACGGUACCUAAUCAGAAAGCCCCGGCUAACUACGUG
RNAcentral lists this ribosomal RNA (497 nucleotides) under uncultured bacterium. Its description in RNAcentral is "partial 16S ribosomal RNA". It matches the Rfam family "Bacterial small subunit ribosomal RNA", at positions 28 to 507 of the family's 1533-position model. The record is from RNAcentral.